CUAAAACCAAGCCCUAACACUUCUUUAUUUCCCCCCCCACCACAGCCUUAAGCUAAAACAUUCAAUUAAUCUAGUAGAGGCGAUAGAAAAAUUAUUAGGCGCCAUAAAAACAGUACCGCAAGGGAAAUUUGAAAUAAAAUUGAAAUAACAAAAAGCACAAAAAAGCAGAGAUUACCUCUCGUACCUUUUGCAUCAUGGUCUAGCCAGUCUUAAUCAAGCAAAACGCAUUUUAAGUUUGACCCCCCGAAACUAAGCGAGCUACUUCAAAACAGCUUAAAGAGCCAACCCGUCUCUGUUGCAAAAGAGUGGGAAGAUUUUCAAGUAGAGGUGAUAAACCUAUCGAGCUUAGAGAUAGCUGGUUAUUCAAGAAAAGGAUCCAAGUCCAACCUUAAGUUUCACCUUAACCUUAGUACCUCCAUAAACUUAAGAGCCACUCAAAUAGGGUACAGCCUAUUUGAAACAGGAUACAACCUAUAACACAGGGUAACAACACUCUCUCGUGACCAAGUAGGCCUGAAAGCAGCCACCUUUCAAAAAGCGUUAAAGCCUAGCCACUCCCACUCAAAAAUACCUAACAAUCUACAAAACCCUUCACCCCUAUUGAAUUUCCCCAUACGCUAUGGAAAAACUCAUGCUAGAACUAGUAACAAGAAAAAGACUCUCUCCAAAAUGUAAGUAUAAGCCCCAAUAAACCCCAUUGGCACUUAAAGUCUCUGAGCUUAAUGUAACAACCACCAAGAAAACCCUACCAACUUUAACGUUAACCUUACACCAGAACACUUCUGGAAAGAUUAAAAAAAGAGGAAGGAACUCGGCAAACUACUAACCCCGCCUGUUUACCAAAAACAUCGCCUCCCGCCCCCAAUGGGAGGUCCAGCCUGCCCAGUGAUAAACAUUAAACGGCCGCGGUACCCUAACCGUGCGAAGGUAGCGCAAUCACUUGUUCCCUAAAUAGGGACUAGUAUGAACGGCAUCACGAGGGUUAUGCUGUCUCCCCCCUUUAAUCAGUGAAACUGAUUUACCCGUGAAGAAGCGGGUAUGAGCCUAUAAGACGAGAAGACCCCAUGGAGCUUUAAACCUAACAAGCACCUAUUUUAACACACCACACUAACUAAAUAGCCCUGAAUGUUGGUUUUCGGUUGGGGCGACCGCGGAGUAAAACCAAACCUCCGCGACGAAAGGAAACACCCCUAAUUUAAGAGCCACAGCUCGACUAAUCAACAAAUUGACGUUUAUUGACCCAAUUCUUUGAUCAACGAACCAAGUUACCCUGGGGAUAACAGCGCAAUCCACUUCAAGAGCUCCUAUCGACAGGUGGGUUUACGACCUCGAUGUUGGAUCAGGGUAUCCUAGUGGUGCAGCCGCUACUAAAGGUUCGUUUGUUCAACGAUUAAAACCCUACGUGAUCUGAGUUCAAACCGGAGCAAUCCAGGUUGGUUUCUAUCUAUAAAGAGCUGGUCCUAGUACGAAAGGACCGGAACAGCGCGGCCCAUAUAACCACAAGCCGCAACUGCAAAUUAAUGACCCCCACUCAAUUCUUAAAGCAGCCUACAAUUAAACUUUAGAUAACAGCGU
RNAcentral lists this ribosomal RNA (1575 nucleotides) under Otophryne sp. AF3571. RNAcentral's name for it is "16S ribosomal RNA". It matches the Rfam family "Bacterial large subunit ribosomal RNA", at positions 270 to 2837 of the family's 2925-position model. The record is from RNAcentral. Lineage: Eukaryota; Metazoa; Chordata; Amphibia; Anura; Microhylidae.